This 429-nucleotide ribosomal RNA is filed under the name Verrucomicrobiota bacterium. RNAcentral describes it as "Verrucomicrobia bacterium partial 16S ribosomal RNA". It matches the Rfam family "Bacterial small subunit ribosomal RNA", at positions 355 to 776 of the family's 1533-position model. Lineage: Bacteria; Pseudomonadati; Verrucomicrobiota. The record is from RNAcentral.
UGGGGAAUCUUCCGCAAUGGACGAAAGUCUGACGGAGCAACGCCGCGUGAGUGAUGACGGUCUUCGGAUUGUAAAGCUCUGUUAAUCGGGACGAAUGGUUUGUGUGCAAAUAGUGCAUAGACAUGACGGUACCGGAAUAGAAAGCCACGGCUAACUACGUGCCAGCAGCCGCGGUAAUACGUAGGUGGCAAGCGUUGUCCGGAAUUCUUGGGCGUAAAGCGCGCGCAGGCGGACUAGCCAGUCAGUCUUAAAAGUUCGGGGCUUAACCCCGUGAUGGGAUUGAAACUACUAGUCUAGAGUAUCGGAGAGGAAAGUGGAAUUCCUAGUGUGGCGGUGAAAUGCGUAGAUAUUAGGAAGAACACCAGUGGCGAAGGCGACUUUCUGGACGAACACUGACGCUGAGGCGCGAAAGCCAGGGGAGCGAACGGG